UAGCAUGAAGUCAAACAAGAGAACCCGCUGAAUUUAA
This 37-nucleotide ribosomal RNA is filed under the name Symbiodinium sp. clade D. RNAcentral's name for it is "Durusdinium sp. clade D partial 28S ribosomal RNA". The record is from RNAcentral. Lineage: Eukaryota; Dinophyceae; Suessiales; Symbiodiniaceae.